This 1079-nucleotide ribosomal RNA is filed under the name Tubificoides pseudogaster. RNAcentral describes it as "eukaryotic LSU rRNA". The stretch from base 566 to 718 matches the Rfam family "5.8S ribosomal RNA". The record is from RNAcentral. Lineage: Eukaryota; Metazoa; Annelida; Clitellata; Tubificida; Naididae.
UUUCCGUAGGUGAACCUGCGGAAGGAUCAUUACCGAAACGAAAUGCUUACAGCAAGCAUUGUUGGUCGUUGAAACACAGACAUAGAUACAAAGUCGGCUGUUGGCAGAACGCAGUCGCACGGUGGACGAAAAGCCAGUGGUGCAUGGCAAACAAAUUAUCAGGACAAACCCGAGUGAGAGAACUAUGAGAGAACUGACAAACGAAGCAGAAUUCGUGCAGUCGCAUUCACGAUAACUCGUGCUUGCGGCGAAGAAGGGGACAACCACAGUGAAUACUCGUUGAAACUUCGGGGUACCUUUCGGGCUGCCGAUUGACCGUAAUUGUCGGCUUGGCCCAGUGAGCAGGUUGCGGGAGUUCCCCGCGGCUUUGCGAAGGUUCAAAGAAUCGCUUUCGUCUUCGUCGGUUCGCCGGCGUGCGGCGACGGAGCGGUCGCCCCGAAGCCAUGUUUUUUGUCUUUCGUACGGUUGCUAUCCGACGUCUGCCGGUCGACGGAGACCGCCCCGGUCGUCUGGGGUGGACGAAGUCGUGCCGGUACGGCGCUGCCACAGUGUGAUAAAGUGAUACAACUCUAAGCGGUGGAUCACUCGGCUCGUGUGUCGAUGAAGAGCGCAGCCAGCUGCGUGAAGUAAUGUGAAUUGCAGGACACAUUGAACAUCGAUAUCUUGAACGCACAUUGCGGCCUCGGGUAUUCCCGAGGCCACGCCUGUCUCAGGGUCGGUUGAACUUAUCUAUCGUCGGUUGACCGUAAAUGCCGACGCAUUGGAUCGUCGCGGAGCGCUGACCGUAAAGGCGCGAUCGGUUGACCGAAAUUGCCGAUCGCGCUGCGCGCCACGUCGUCCGAAGUACAGACGGGUCUGCCUAUGCUUUGCCGACCGCACGUCCUAAAUCCGCCCUUGCGGACGGGGACGGCGACUCGGACCUCAAGAGAAGCCGUCGCCUGUUGCUCUGGCGGUACGGUUGGCUCAGCGGUGGCGGACCCACGAACGAAAAGACGCGUUGUCGGCGGCGAAGCAAUUCGUCGUCGUCGGCCGUCAUCUUCUUCGACCUGAGAUCAGACGAGAUUACCCGCUGAAUUUAA